CCUACGGGAGGCAGCAGUAGGGAAUCUUCCGCAAUGGACGAAAGUCUGACGGAGCAACGCCGCGUGAGCGAUGAAGGCCUUCGGGUCGUAAAGCUCUGUUGUUAGGGAAGAAUAAGUGCUAGUUGAAUAAGCUGGCACCUUGACGGUACCUAACCAGAAAGCCACGGCUAACUACGUGCCAGCAGCCGCGGUAAUACGUAGUGGCAAGCGUUGUCCGGAAUUAUUGGGCGUAAAGCGCGCGCAGCGGUUCUUAAGUCUGAUGUGAAAGCCCCCGGCUCAACCGGGGAGGGUCAUUGGAAACUGGGAAACUUGAGUGCAGAAGAGGAAAGUGGAAUUCCCAGUGUAGCGGUGAAAUGCGUAGAGAUUUGGAGGAACACCAGUGGCGAAGGCGACUUUCUGGUCUGUAACUGACGCUGAGGCGCGAAAGCGUGGGGAGCAAACAGGAUUAGAUACCCUGGUAGUCCACGCUGUAAACGAUGAGUGCUAAGUGUUAGAGGGUUUCCGCCCCUUUAGUGCUGAAGUUAACGCAUUAAGCACUCCCGCCUGGGGAGUACGGUCGCAAGACUGAAACUCAAAGGAAUUGACGGGGGCCCGCACAAGUGGUGGAGCAUGUGGUUUAAUUCGAAGCAACGCGAAGAACCUUAC
This 645-nucleotide ribosomal RNA is filed under the name bacterium HZ35-3. RNAcentral's name for it is "bacterial SSU rRNA". It matches the Rfam family "Bacterial small subunit ribosomal RNA", at positions 338 to 974 of the family's 1533-position model. The record is from RNAcentral.